Molecule: long non-coding RNA, 3629 nt
Organism: Myxocyprinus asiaticus (Chinese sucker)
Lineage: Eukaryota; Metazoa; Chordata; Actinopteri; Cypriniformes; Catostomidae
Exons: 4
Source: RefSeq, a predicted model, not a curated record
UCUUCAAAUAAGCGACGCAUGACCGCAUAAUGACCAGAGAUAUCACUGUUCUGCGUUAAUGAACUGCAGUUUACACACAAAUAUCACUGUAUUUACAUCCGUAUCUCUCAGUUCAUACGCUGUCCGUGUGAACGCGCCGCAGUCAUGGUGAAGGAGCAGUUUAGAGAGACGGAUGUGGCUAAAAAGGUAAGUCACAUCUGUUUUGAUAUGAAUGGAGCAGAUGAGACAGCAAGCUCAUAUUCAGGUGGUCAGUAAGAAUCUGUAGAGUCAGGACACGAGUCGGACACCUCUGCCGUAUGGAGUCCUGGACCACUGCACGAUAAGACUGCAAAAUAAGAACAUUAAAUGCUUUUAAAUACAGACCUGAGACUUCACCAUCUGUCUAAUGUGUGUUGUUUUUUGCAUUUAGGGCACCAGUGAGAAGGACAGACCAUGUGAAACGUGCGGUUUCUCGGUCACUACGGCUAUCUAGAUUUGGAACUGCCAUGUUUGCAUAUCGGAUACUUUAAAGCCAUCAUCGGAAUCCUGCAGGCAAGUGCUGAAUGAUCUGUAAGACAUGUCCACAUGUUCACACAUUCUUCUUUCCAAAGAGGAGAAACUUCAGUUUCUGGAUUACUUGUGCAAGCCUGGUCUGGUUUACCUGCAGAAACGUGGUCUUAAGAAGAAAAUCUCAGAUAAAUGCAGAAAGAAAACCACAUGUGUGAACUGCAGUGCAUUUUUGCUGGGAUUCAUCCUCCGCCACCCGGAUUGAGGCGAAUCACUACGCGACCACGAGGACUUAAAAAUUGGGCAUUCCAAAUUGGGUGAAAAAGGGGAAAAAUCCCCACAAAAAAACAAAACAAAAAACAAAUGCUUUUGUUAUUGAUUCUCUGAUUUCUCUUCAGGCCCGGUCAAGAAAUGUGGCUUAUUGAAGAUAAUUCAUUUAAAAUAUAAAACCACGAAGAAGGUCAUCGACCCCAUGGUGACUUUCUGCAGUCGUCUGAUGUCGCCAUCGAACACAAUAAAGAAGUGGAGUCUCUAUAGGCCAGAGCGCAGGUGAAUAAAGUGUUUUAGCCGGAUGUCCUGCCUGUGAUAUUAUUCAGAUCUCCAUAAAGGUGUGUCUGAGUGCAUUAUAAUGGGAAUUCCCAUGAAGCUCGGCACUGGACUCUUUAAACUUUUACACAGUGCUGUGAAGGACCCGACUCCCCCCCGCAGGCCUUUGCUCUUUGAUAAUCCUGAUUUCCACAUUUCAAUAGCUCCAUAACCCUGUUUUUGGACUGUUUCAGCUCCUGUUGAGUGUAAUGACUGUUUACUGCAGCUGUGUGUCAUUAAGUUCUGAAACCAAAUUAUUUGUUUUACAGUUUGCGGCUUGAAAGGAUCAUUUUGUGCCUUUUUUCCCCUUGCUAAACUGCUGGAAGACAGUGGAAAAUGUUGGCAAGGAUAAGUCAAGAACGAUGACAUCUUUUGUGGUGUGUGAAAGAUGGAUCUUUGACUGUGUUUAUUAGGGGUUCAAGCCCGAAGGGCUGCAACCCUAUUGUAAUUGUAAGGAUUUUUAUUUUUAUUAUUAUUCUGCCCUAAAACUGAUCAUGCAGACCAAACCGUAAGUUGUAGAGAGCUGAAACUCUGAGGGAAGGUAGUCCCCCAGAGUACUACAGUGUACCAAAGUUUCGACCCGAUCGGCCUCAAGGUGGCGCUAAAGUGAUCAUGUUUCCGUUUUGGCCCAUAACUCCUAAACCGUUUGUCGCAGUGUCUUACAUCAUUGGAUUCCUUGGCUCAAGACGAACAAAACGUAUAUCUCCGAUUUCAUUUCCUUCAUGAAAAUGUUUGCGCUAAUUUGCAUAAUCCGAAAAACCUACUUUUUCUAACUCCUCCUAGGCCGUAUGUCCGAUUUGCACAAAAAUUGGGCUGUGUCUACUAUGAACCCUCCUGACAAAACGUCUAUCAAAGGAAUUUUGAUUCGUCGAAGCGUUGCGAAGAUAUAAGCCAACAAAUUGGUCAGGCGUCAUCCAUUUUGUACGUAUUGACCAAUAUCUACCAAAUGAAAAGGCCAAAUGUUACGAAUCUAGAUACACAUAGACAACAGGACAUUCUGAGGAUGCACGCAAAAUUACGCCUAUAGGGGGCGCUACAACAAAAAAACGCCCAUAACUCCACAACCGUAUGAUCAAUGACGUUAAAAAUUGGUAUGCAUCUUGUAGGGGCCAAAGGCUAACAUAUCCUGUAAUAUCAGUUGGACAAAUAAAAAACAUGGCUGCCAACAGCCAAUUAAAUUUUAGCAGCUAAUAACAUCAAAUCUGAAUGGCCGACUGUUACGAAACUUGAGAUAUUUGUAGACAGUGUCAGAAUGAGGCUGUGUACCAAGUUUUAUGAAAAUAGGCCUCAAGGUGGCGCUAUAACAAGGACAUUUACUUUUUUGCCAAUAACUCCGGAACCGAGUUGAAUAAUCUCAAAAUUAUUUUUUCCUCUAAUUCCUUGUACCAAGACCUACAAAAUGUAUAUCUCCAUUUUAUUGCAUUUUAUAAAAUGUUUCCACUAUUCUAAUUUUCUAAAAAAGCAACUUUUUCAAACUCCUAGGCUGCAUAUCCGAUUCUCACAAAAAUUGGUGUGUGUCUACUAUGAACUAUUCGCAAAAUCGCGAAAAGAUGCACCUAUAGGGGGCGCUACAACUAAAAAAUGCUCAUAACUCCGCAACUGUAUUAUCAAUGAAGUUGAAAAUUGGUAUGCUUCUUGUAGGGGCCAAAUGCUAACAUACUGUAUUUUACAAUAUGACACAGACAAAUAAAAAAAAACAUGGCUGCCAGCAGCCAAUCAAAUUUCAGCAAAAUGGCUGUAUAAAUGGUGUGUAAAUUAUUGUAUAUUAUCCAAUGUAACCUGCUAUUGUGAACUACAUCUAGGACUCCCUAGGUCAAUAAUUAUUAAAGAAAAGUUGAACUUUAGUUAUUUAUUUAGGGGUUGCAUUUAUCAUGUGGGUUUGACCAAGUGUAUCCAAAAGCCUAUAAUUCCUAAAAUAAAUAUUACAAUUUAUAAAACCUUUUUGGAGAUUGGGUGCUUUGUGGCUUUAUAACAGUUAAAAAGUACAAAAAUGACCAUCAUAACAAUUAUCCUGUUUCAGGAUCGUUGAACACAAUACAUCAGAGUCAUAUUUAACACCAGUUUGCAAAUUCAGCAACUUACAAAGUACAUAUACAAAUACAUACCUUUUUUGCAUACUUUGAAAGUUCUUAAAAGGCUUGAACCCUGACAACUGAUUUGAUUUGAUUUGAUUUGAAUUGCUGCUUGCAGCUAUAUUUAUUAUUAUUAUCAUUAUUAUUAUUAUUAUUAUUAUUAUUGCGAUGAUAAUAGGGUUCCACCUCAAUUCUGGGCCUUUAUGUUAGGAUCCCUAGAAACAUUGGAACUCUUUUUUCUCAUUUUGAGAAGGUUUAUGAAAUUGUAUUCUUUGCUAACCAACUGUUAAAUAGAUUAAAUGUGCUUAUAGGUCGAUCAAAUUAGGAUUUACCUAAUUUAAAUACAUUUUUCUGACCUGACAGGGUCAAGUCUAAUUUAUACAACUGAAAGAAACAUGUAUUUGGUUUUUGUUUUGUUUUUGUUUUUUUACUACUGUAAAUAGAUAUUUAUGUAAAUAUGUACCAGGUGUGAAUAAAAUGUAUGUU